This 922-nucleotide long non-coding RNA is filed under the name Linum usitatissimum (flax). RNAcentral's name for it is "long non-coding RNA (LUSI_LNC003541)". Lineage: Eukaryota; Viridiplantae; Streptophyta; Magnoliopsida; Malpighiales; Linaceae. The record is from RNAcentral.
AAUUUUGACUAAUUUAAGUUUAACUAAUAAAUGAACAUGUUUAGAAAUAUAUAAUCGUUCAUACCAAAAAAACAAACAUAUUUUGAAAAUGCAAAUUCACAAUGUAAUUUGUACACAAUACAUUUGUAAUAAUAACGUUGAGAGCAUGAACUAACUAAAUAUUCAUCACUUUAUUGUUCUUUUGAAAAGAUUUACCAAUGAUGUCGUCGAGUAAAUACUAAAUAGAUCAAUGACUUUUAGGUACAUUCCACUUGGCGUAUGUUGAAUAAUACAAUGAAAUUUAUAAUAAUGUAAUAUAUAAUAACAUGAAAGAAAAUGAAUUCUUUUAUAAAAUAAAAAAUCAUAAUCAUAAUAGGAUUACAUAUUAAAAACCCUUUGGGUGAUAUUAAAAAUGAUAAUCAUAAUCAUUAUCCCUGUCAUUCGUAUAGGUCUUGACGUUCGGUUGCCAUUGCUGAAUCGACUGAAAGAACCCACAGUUUGCUGAGUCUUCCCAAACUAGACACUGAAAGAAUGGUUUUCCCCGAUUAACAACCGUACCAGCGACUUUUACAAUAGCGUCGUACCCAUGAUAACAUUUCUCACCUCCGAUAUGAGGAAAUCUUCGUGACGGACCUCACUUCGAGGAACUAGAAUCGUCGGAACUUUGAUGUGCCAGAGAUUGACUCAUCGAGAAACAACAAAAAAAUGGGAGGACCUAACUUCGCCCUUAAUCUGGACGGGGUAUAAUAGAAGGGAAACGAGGGGAGGGGGUCAAUGGUAUACUAGAAGCUGGUGGACGAGGGAUGAAGAGGCAGAGUUUAGAAGACGACAUUAAGUUUGGGUUUUGGGUAGAGAAGGAUGGCGUGGAAUGAAAAUGUGUAGGUAUGGUUAAUGUUAUUGGAUCUCAGAUGGGGAUAAGGUUCGAAGAUAAGGUUGAGUUUAG